Long non-coding RNA from Falco peregrinus (peregrine falcon), 4150 nucleotides. RefSeq lists it as uncharacterized. The transcript has 4 exons. The record is from RefSeq and is a predicted model, not a curated record. Lineage: Eukaryota; Metazoa; Chordata; Aves; Falconiformes; Falconidae.
AGCUGUUCUGUUAUUGUAAUUCAGCCUGUGUUGGAGCCACAAAAUUUGGCUGUGCCUCAGUCUCUCCCAGGCAUCUAGCCCUCUGUCAGCUCUGGAGCAGCAGUUUAAAUGGGAUGGCUGAGGCUGUUACUGCUGUUUAGGUAGCUCCCCCCCUUCCAGUGAAUUUGGUUGAGACAAAAAAGGUGUCACAUCCCUCCAUGAAUCAGCUGAAGAACAGCUGUGCGUUUUAGCCUUGCUCACCAGAGUGAACUAUUUUUGCUACAGGCACAACAAGAUCCAGAGCUGGCCAAUGGUAAUAUGCAGAGUGGACACCCUACAUGUAUUUUCAUCAAAGAGAACAAGAAGUGAGAAAAUGAAGAAGCUUUUCUGCUGCUGAACCUAAAAUACAUCAAGAGAGACAGUGAUGUUCCUAGACCUCCUAAAAGAUGAGUAAUGGAUGAAGACAGUACUGCUGACCUCCGUUGCUUUGAGAUCUGCUGCUGAAAACUAUAACAGCUAGAAUUGAACUGACUGCAACUCAGAAGUUACUUCCAUUACAAUUGUAUGUGUCACAGUUACCAUAUUCUGUCAAGCUGGUAAAUACUCCAGAAAACUUGCAUCCUUAAGGAGAUAAGAAGGUAUGGCAUAAUACAACACAUUAGGCGAAAUACGAUCGUGAUGCGAUAACUUCAUCUACCUGCCAUGUCUGAAGGCUUCUAGUAGCACCCUGAGUAGGCAAGUCCAGCUCAUUCAUCUUUUCUGACUAAAUGUAUUUGUGACUGACUGGUAAGUGGUCUCUUCCUAGAUACCAGGUCUCUAGAAGCACAAAGUAAAUGCGAGUAACACAAAUACUAUGAACUCAUCAGCACACCGGAAGUAUAAAGUUCCAAAUUUCAGCUCAGAAGGAUAUAAGUUUAAAAUGCCCUUUAAUCUUUAUGUACUUUUAAUGUGCAUAUCUAAUCAUAAUCUCCCUGAUUGCUUAUAGCUUGUGUACAGCUACAGUAGGUACUCUUCAGUGGAUUUGUUAUUUAGAUCUCUAGAAAGGAGUAGGAAUGGAUCAGAAAGAUAGGGCUGAAAACUCAACUUCAAAGUAUUCGAAAUUAUUUAAAGAUGAUUGAUAUAAAAAGGAAAAAUCAAUUUCCUCAUAAACAUAGAAAGAAUAACUGAUUUGAAAUUCUCUAAAACCACAUUACAAUUCUGGAAAUAUUAAUAGAGCAGGGAUAGGAAGAGGCCCAGACCUUACAAAGAAUUGACAGCUAUGACUGUGAGCAAAACUAAUGCUUCUAUUCAGUGGCCCACACAAAGACAAUAUGCAAUGAAAAAUUGGGAUUGAGCCAUUACCACCCUGCGAGAUUUUCUUGCUGGUCUGAAGAGUGAAAUGAAAACCUGAAUGAAAAUAGAAUGCUGCUACUUAUAAUGUUGAUGCUAAAUAUGCUGAGCUUCAACUCAGUUGCAUUCAGCAACUAGCAUCCUAUGAUCCCAAGUGGGCACGACCUACUGCAGAUAUUUGUUUAAUAUAAAAUCUUGAGGAGAUUCUAGAAUUCAUUGCUAAGUUUUCAGAACAGACCUAGAAGUUACAACUAACGUACAGAGUUUACUUGCGCUUCACAUCUUUGCCAGAUAGUGGCAUUUAAUUUUUAAACUGAAAAUGAAAUUUCGCCAGAAAACUUUACCGAGUCCUUAAUCAAUCUAUUCAAGGAAAGUUACUUUUAGCAAUAACAUUGAAUCUCCCCUGCUGCAGCACUUUCAUUACUUCUUUUCCAAUCUAUAGUUUCUAUUUUCUUCUUUGCAGAAACAUUGCUCGUGGUUAUGGGCUGACAUCCCAUCUUCCCUUAGCCUUCUCUUUAGACUAAACAAUGCCAAUUCCUUCCACCCUACCUCAUGCUCCCUUCUAGACUGUUGCUCAUUCUUUUUAGCCCUUUCUGGAUUGUCUCCAGCACAUCUACGUUUUUCUUAAAGUAUGGUGCCCAAAACAGUACUCCUUGACACUCACCAAUGUCAUGGAGAGCACAAUUACUUUACACACCUUGCACAGAAUAUUUGUACUCCAGGAUCACUGUUUUGUUUCAGUUUGGCAAUACUUGGUUAGUACAGGGAGCUUCUUUAUUUAUUAAACUGAAAAGGUAUAUUUGGAGACAAUCUUUCUUUGUGAAAGCUAGGUUUCAGGUAUAGUGUUGUGAUCAGGGUCUUAAGGCCAGAAAGUUGUAAAAAUUUGUUUUACUUUAUUACAGGGCACACUAGAAAACCAGGAGUUAGCUCUGAUUUACUGUAAAAAAUGCUCCCUAUUUACAUGGUUUUCAGAGAUGUAUGGCAACUGUCCUAUUUUGUGCUUUAAUAAAAUAGCAACAAAUACUACCUAGCUUUCUAGACAGACACAGGUAGGGAGUUGAGAAGAGCUUUGCCUAUGAGUAUCAGGGAUAUGCACACUAUUACAAAGUAUAAAGCCUUGUUACCUUUAUGUACCUUUGAGCUGAAACGCUGUUUCAUUAAAGUUAAUUGCAUUAGAGUUAACUCAGAUUUCACCAUUAGCGGUAAGGCUUUCUAGGUAGCAAUUUGUUGUUUACUACAAGUCUAAAAAAAGAGUCUUAGUUAACACUCUGUAGACACUAAUGUGUAAAUGUGUAUCCUAAUAAUUUUUCAAUAACUGAUUACCCCCCCCAUUACUUCAUUGUGUUUCCUUAAAUUGCAUAAUAAUUAACAAAGAGAAUUUGGUACAAAUCUUAUUGGGACUUGCUAACAAAACAUGAGGGUUAAUCCCUGGUCUGAGAGAAGGUAGGAAGGAUGUAGAACAGUACUAAUGCUCCAAUUGUAGAUAACUUACUCCUUAUUCUUCCACAGUUUUCUUGCACGGUAUGAGCGAGUGACUUAACUAUCAUACGUCUCCUUGUUUUUCAUGAGCUAGUUAAGAGAAACAUUCUUAUAUUCCUUCCAAAGUAAACUUUUUUUUUUGUUUAUUGUUGGACAAAUUUCUGUCCGACAAUAAAGACCAAGCAACUCUGUUGGUUAUCUUCACGUUAAAGUAGAUUAUACCCACUUUGGUUUCAAGAAUUCAUUAAAUUCAGGGUUGCAGUAACAUUAAAAUCCUAUGCUCUGGUCAGUAUUUUUAAACCAAAUUUCAAUUAACUUUAAAGAAGAAAAAAAAAGUAAAAGCACACCCACUGGCAGCGCUUAGCUGAAUCAAUAAAAAGCACAAAUAAAUACCACCAUAUCUGUACCAGUGUGAGUUUUGCAUACUCAGUUUCUGUUGUUAAAAUAUGGUUUAAAACACAAAGCUUUUAAAGCUUUGGGUAACAGAUAAGUUAUGGUAGUCAAAGUUUUAAGACAAGUACAGAUAAUUUAUCUUUUUUAGUGAUUUGGCUGCCAUUCUGGUAUUUCCUCAGCAGAAAUAACAUGUAAGGCUUCCCUUUGUUGCCCUAGCCCUCCAUUUUAAAUUUAUUCCUAUAUUAAACCACCAAAAUUUGUUUUGUUUCUUAUCUGCUUUUUAAGCCAGCAGUGACAAGUGGAAAGAAGGAAUUUUGUGAAAUUUCUGGAAAAGUUAAAACAGUCUGCAGUAGCAAUUUUCCAGAAAUGAAGGAUUGUUUGGCAUGUCUUCAAUGCAGUCCACAGAAGAUUUUUGUAAUUUCCUAGGGUAUAGAUUAUUAUUCUAAUCUUAUUUACCCAGCCUUGAAGUUCAUUCACUAAUGUAAUUGUAUCCAAAGCAAAAACACUGCCUAUUGAACUCUACAGCUAUUAAUUUCUGUUUUCAUUCACUCUUUUCUUUCAAGUUGUAGACUUGCUUAGUAGUGCUGGUCCAAAAUUGUAAUAAUAAUUUCAGAUAUACUUAUUCUAGCUUUCCUCUGUUAUAGAAAAAGAAUAAAAUUUGUCUGCAGUCCCACAUUUAUUUUCGCGUGCAGAGUCAUACAGCUAUAAUAAACACUAAGAGACUCCCAGACCAGAUGCCAGAGAAAGUUCCAUUGUACUCAAGACUCACUGCCUUCUGUGAAUCAACAUAGGGGUUUAAGAACACCAGUCCAACACACCGAAUUUGUUUCAUGUUUGCCCAGUACCAAGUGUAAUAGGUCUUUGACCUCUGGAUAAUAUUUGAGGAACAGCAAUAAAUACUAUUAACUCUUCUGUAUUAAAUAUUACAUGCAACAUUUCAAGGACAGAAAAGUUAACAAUGAAAGGUUUU